RNAcentral lists this ribosomal RNA (253 nucleotides) under uncultured bacterium. Its description in RNAcentral is "partial 16S ribosomal RNA". It matches the Rfam family "Bacterial small subunit ribosomal RNA", at positions 524 to 776 of the family's 1533-position model. The record is from RNAcentral.
GAUAGAGGGGGCAAGCGUUGCUCGGAAUCACUGGGCGUAAAGGGCGCGUAGGCGGGAAGCCAAGUCGGUCGUGAAAUCUCCGGGCUCAACCCGGAGGAGUCGGCCGAAACUGGUUUUCUUGAGGGAGGCAGAGGAGUCUGGAAUUCCCGGUGUAGCGGUGAAAUGUGUAGAGAUCGGGAGGAACACCGGUGGCGAAGGCGGGACUCUGGGCCUACCCUGACGCUGAGGCGCGAAGGCGUGGGGAGCAAACGGG